GUGCCAGCAGCCGCGGUAAUACAGAGGGUGCGAGCGUUAAUCGGAGUUACUGGGCGUAAAGGGCGCGUAGGCGGUUGAAUAAGAUUGAUGUGAAAUCCCUGGGCUUAACCUAGGAACUGCAUCGAUGACUGUAUGACUUGAGUAUUGUAGAGGGUAGUGGAAUUUCCGGUGUAGCGGUGAAAUGCGUAGAGAUCGGAAGGAACACCAGUGGCGAAGGCGGCUACCUGGACAAAUACUGACGCUGAGGCGCGAGAGCGUGGGGAGCAAACAGGAUUAGAAACCCGAGUAGUCC
RNAcentral lists this ribosomal RNA (292 nucleotides) under uncultured bacterium. RNAcentral describes it as "partial 16S ribosomal RNA". It matches the Rfam family "Bacterial small subunit ribosomal RNA", at positions 505 to 796 of the family's 1533-position model. The record is from RNAcentral.